Molecule: ribosomal RNA, 743 nt
Filed under: uncultured Fusobacterium sp.
Lineage: Bacteria; Fusobacteriati; Fusobacteriota; Fusobacteriia; Fusobacteriales; Fusobacteriaceae
Description: bacterial SSU rRNA
Rfam family: Bacterial small subunit ribosomal RNA
Source: RNAcentral
UACUUGAACUUCGGUUUGGGUGGCGGACGGGUGAGUAACGCGUAAAGAACUUGCCUCACAGUUAGGGACAACAUUUGGAAACGAAUGCUAAUACCUGAUAUUAUGAUUUUAGGGCAUCCUAAGAUUAUGAAAGCUAUAUGCGCUGUGAGAGAGCUUUGCGUCCCAUUAGCUAGUUGGAGAGGUAACGGCUCACCAAGGCGAUGAUGGGUAGCCGGCCUGAGAGGGUGAACGGCCACAAGGGGACUGAGGCACGGCCCUUACUCCUACGGGAGGCAGCAGUGGGGAAUAUUGGACAAUGGACCAAAAGUCUGAUCCAGCAAUUCUGUGUGCACGAUGACGUUUUUCGGAAUGUAAAGUGCUUUCAGUUGGGAAGAAAAAAAUGACGGUACCAACAGAAGAAGUGACGGCUAAAUACGUGCCAGCAGCCGCGGUAAUACGUAUGUCACAAGCGUUAUCCGGAUUUAUUGGGCGUAAAGCGCGUCUAGGUGGUUAUGUAAGUCUGAUGUGAAAAUGCAGGGCUCAACUCUGCAUUGCGUUGGAAACUGCAUGACUAGAGUACUGGAGAGGUAAGCGGAACUACAAGUGUAGAGGUGAAAUUCGUAGAUAUUUGUAGGAAUGCCGAUGGGGAAGCCAGCUUACUGGACAGAUACUGACGCUAAAGCGCGAAAGCGUGGGUAGCAAACAGGAUUAGAUACCCUGGUAGUCCACGCCGUAAACGAUGAUUACUAGGUGUUGGGGGUCGA